CCCUCAGGCUCCCUGAGUCAGCAGCCCCCCUCACCCACACUGAAUUCAAAACCAGGAUUGAUCUUCACAGAGAAGUCUCUGGUGCAGUGCAAAAAGCUACAAGAUACGAACCAUGGCACUCCUGUUCAAGCAAAAUUUGAUGGUUUUCCUAAAGAUGUGCCAUCUCUCUGCCUCUGCCCUUUGUUCUCCUCUAUUUCCCUUCAAAUGAUGAAGACCCAUUCUGUCUACCUCCAAGCUUUUUCAUAUCAACCGUCCUAUUUAUACCCUUGAGUCAAUUGGAAUGGAAGAAAGGGUGGAGGUUAUUUUUUUCCACCUGUUCCAGGAACAUGUGUUCGAAGAAUGAAUUUUUCCCCUCAUUAAAUCACUUUGGCAAUUUUCCAGGAAUUCUUAUUUUAAUAUCAACUAAGGAAGUGCAUGGUUUCUAUCUGAAGGGUGGUACUUACUUUGCUGCAUAUGUAUUGGCAUGAAAUUGCCUACAGAGGGAUCACAGCUUGGGGCAAGCUUUGUGGAGGAUGAAGGUGAGUAAGAAUUUCCCUUUGCUAAACUGUAUUUCUUUCUAGUGAAGUUCCCAUCUCAAAAUGUGUCCUGACCAGCUGGGCAAGUCAAGCGAAA
Long non-coding RNA from Rattus rattus (black rat), 612 nucleotides. RefSeq lists it as uncharacterized. The record is from RefSeq and is a predicted model, not a curated record. NCBI's taxonomy places the organism in Eukaryota, Metazoa, Chordata, Mammalia, Rodentia, Muridae. The transcript has 3 exons.